Long non-coding RNA from Clupea harengus (Atlantic herring), 958 nucleotides. NCBI's taxonomy places the organism in Eukaryota, Metazoa, Chordata, Actinopteri, Clupeiformes, Clupeidae. The record is from Ensembl.
GACUCCCUCUAACUCCUUUCCUCUCUCCCUCCUCCUCCUCCUCAUCUCUCCCUCCUCCUCAUCUCUCCCUCCUCCUCCUCCUCUCGUACUGGUCCUGUGCUCUCCCCGUGGUGAGGCAGUCCGGCGGAGCGAGAGCGAGAGCGAGUGUGUGUGUGUGUGUGUGUGUGUGCGUUCCUGUUCCUGUAUCAGCGCUGGGAUACCAGUCAGCAGCAUGAAACCUUGAAUCCGAUCGAGACUGGACACAGUGUAACAGGCAACACGGCAACAGAGUGUGACUGCUGCAAAGAGAUGUGGAGUGUGUGAGCGCGCAACAACAGCAGUUACUGAACACACCUUCUCCCCACAUACUCGUGAAGGUUCACUGGACACAGCACACAACAGACCAGCGUUUGAACAGCACAGACACGGCUGCCAUAUCUGAGGGUGCCGCGACCUACAGCUCAUCCGUCUGUACAUGGAGACCACGAGCUGGGCAGUGUGUAAGUCGGGCACCAUUGCUGUGUUUGGAAACGUGGUGUACGGUGACCUGCUGACGGAUCUGACUGACUUCUGCCACUUUGGAGUUCCACUCGUCACAAGACUGCAGAGAACAUGCGUGGAACAGAGCAGAGAACAUGCGCGGAACAAAGAGGAACAUGGGCGGAACAGAGCAGAGUGGAACAUGCGCGGAACAGAGAAGAACAUGCGCAGAACAGAGCAGAGAACAUGGGCGGAACAAAGAGGAACAUGGGCGGAACAGAGCAGAGUGGAACAUGCACGGAACAGAGCAGAGUGGAACAUGCGCGGAACAGAACAGAGCGGAAAACAUGCGCGGAACAAAGAGGAACAUGCGUGGAACAGGGCAGAGUGGAACAUGCGCGGAACAAAGAGGAAAACAUGCGCGCAACAGAGCAGAGUGAAACAUGCGCGGAACAAAGAGGAUCAUGCGUGGAACAGAGUGGAACAUGCGCGGAACAGA